CCUACGGGAGGCAGCAGUCGAGAAUCAUUCACAAUGGGGGAAACCCUGAUGGUGCGACGCCGCGUGGGGGAAUGAAGGCCUUCGGAUUGUAAACCCCUGUCAUGUGGGAGCAAAUUAAAAAGAUAGUACCACAAGAGGAAGAGACGGCUAACUCUGUGCCAGCAGCCGCGGUAAUACAGAGGUCUCAAGCGUUGUUCGGAAUCACUGGGCGUAAAGCGUGCGUAGGCUGUUUCGUAAGUCGUGUGUGAAAGGUGCGGGCUCAACCCGCGGACGGCACAUGAUCCUGCGAGACUAGAGUAAUGGAGGGGGAACCGGAAUUCUCGGUGUAGGAGUGAAAUGCGUAGAUAUCGAGAGGAACACUCGUGGCGAAGGCGGGUUCCUGGACAUUAACUGACGCUGAGGCACGAAGGCCAGGGGAGCGAAAGGGAUUAGAUACCCCGGUAGUC
Molecule: ribosomal RNA, 446 nt
Filed under: uncultured bacterium
Lineage: Bacteria
Description: partial 16S ribosomal RNA
Rfam family: Bacterial small subunit ribosomal RNA
Source: RNAcentral